GAUGAAGAACGCAGCGAAAUGCGAUAAGUAAUGUGAAUUGCAGAGUUCAGUGAAUCAUCGAAUCUUUGAACGCACAUUGCGCCCGCCAGUAUUCUGGCGGGCAUGCCUGUUCGAGCGUCAUUACAACCCUCAGGCCCCCGGGCCUGGCGUUGGGGAUCGGCGGAAGCCCCCUGUGGGCACACGCCGUCCCUCAAAUACAGUGGCGGUCCCGCCGCAGCUUCCAUUGCGUAGUAGCUAACACCUCGCAACUGGAGAGCGGCGCGGCCAUGCCGUAAAACACCCAACUUCUGAAUGUUGACCUCGAAUCAGGUAGGAAUACCCGCUGAACUUAAGCAUAUCAAUAAGCGGAGGA
RNAcentral lists this unclassified non-coding RNA (352 nucleotides) under soil metagenome. Its description in RNAcentral is "partial contains 5.8S ribosomal RNA, internal transcribed spacer 2, and large subunit ribosomal RNA". The stretch from base 1 to 120 matches the Rfam family "5.8S ribosomal RNA", at positions 35 to 154 of the family's 154-position model. The record is from RNAcentral.